GCCGUUAUAGCUCAGUUGGUAGAGCGCACCCAUGGUAAGGGUGAGGUCCCCAGUUCAAUCCUGGGUAACGGCUCCA
RNAcentral lists this transfer RNA (76 nucleotides) under Candidatus Peregrinibacteria bacterium. Its description in RNAcentral is "tRNA-Thr". It matches the Rfam family "tRNA". From Rfam's summary of the family: Transfer RNA (tRNA) molecules are approximately 80 nucleotides in length. Their secondary structure includes four short double-helical elements and three loops (D, anti-codon, and T loops). Lineage: Bacteria; Candidatus Peregrinibacteriota. The record is from RNAcentral. RNAcentral also lists the same sequence under 1 other name.